GACAGAGGGUGCAAACGUUGUUCGGAAUUACUGGGCGUAAAGCGCGUGUAGGCGGCUAAGCAAGUCGGGCGUGAAAUCCCACCGCUCAACGGUGGAAGUGCGCCCGAAACUGCAUAGCUAGAGUCCUGGAGAGGAAGGUGGAAUGCUUGGUGUAGAGGUGAAAUUCGUAGAUAUCAAGCGGAACACCGGUGGCGAAGGCGGCCUUCUGGACAGUGACUGACGCUGAGACGCGAAAGCGUGGGGAGCAAACAGG
RNAcentral lists this ribosomal RNA (253 nucleotides) under uncultured bacterium. RNAcentral's name for it is "partial 16S ribosomal RNA". It matches the Rfam family "Bacterial small subunit ribosomal RNA", at positions 524 to 776 of the family's 1533-position model. The record is from RNAcentral.